Molecule: unclassified non-coding RNA, 274 nt
Filed under: Hevea brasiliensis (rubber tree)
Lineage: Eukaryota; Viridiplantae; Streptophyta; Magnoliopsida; Malpighiales; Euphorbiaceae
Source: RNAcentral
UCGCGGAAGCCCUCGUCAAGCAAAUCGGUUUCUUGGCCGUUUCUCAAGCCGGAGCGAUGCGUAAAGUAGCCACGUACUUCGCUGAAGCCUUAGCUCGCAGAAUCUGCAGAAUCUACAGACUCUAUCCUCAAAGCCCUAUGGACCAUUCACUCUCCGAUAUUCUCCAGAUGGACUUCUACGAAACCUGCCCUUAUCUCAAAUUCGCUCACUUCACUGCUAAUCAAGCAAUUCUUGAGGCCUUUGAAGGGAAAAAACGAGUGCACGUUAUCGACUU